ACGGGGUGCAGCAGGCGCGAAACCUCUACAAUGCACGAAAGUGUGAUAGGGGAAUUCCACGUGCAGACUAUGUCUGCUUUUCUCAAGUUUAAAAUCCUUGGGGAAUAAGGGCUGGGCAAGACCCGUGCCAGCCGCCGCGGUAAUACGGGCAGCUCUAGUGGCGUUCGCGAAUAUUGGGCCUAAAGCGUUCGUAGCUUGCCUUGUCAGUCUCCGGUGAAAGCUUGCGACUUAAUCGUGAGAGUUGCCGGAGAAACAGCAAGGCUUGGGGCCGGGAUGGGUCAGAGGUAUUCCUUGGGUAGGAGUAAAAUCCUGUAAUCCUUGGAGGACCAACAGUGGCGAAGGCGUCUGACUAGAACGGGCCCGACAGUGAGGGACGAAAGCUAGGGGAGCGACCCGGAUUAGAUACCCGGUUAGUCCUAGCCGUAAAUGAUGCAGGUUUUGUGUUGCAUUCCGUACGUCGGAAUGCAGUGCCGAAGGAAACCGUUAAACCUGCCGCCUGGAA
RNAcentral lists this ribosomal RNA (502 nucleotides) under uncultured archaeon. RNAcentral describes it as "bacterial SSU rRNA". It matches the Rfam family "Archaeal small subunit ribosomal RNA", at positions 325 to 833 of the family's 1478-position model. The record is from RNAcentral.